AGUUGUUUAUGUAGCAAUAUUGUGAACAGCAAGUGGCGAACGGGUGAGUAACACGUAGAUAAUCUGCCUUUCAGACGGGGACAACUCAGGGAAACUUGUGCUAAUACCCGCUGAGACUACGGGAGGGGACUUCUGUAGCCAAAAGUGGGGGCAACCUCACGCUGAAAGAUGAGUCUGCGUCCUAUCAGCUAGUUGGUGGGGUAAAAGCCUACCAAGGCGAAGACGGGUAGCCGGCCUGAGAGGGUGAACGGCCACACUGGGACUGAGACACGGCCCAGACUCCUACGGGAGGCAGCAGUGAGGAAUUUUCCGCAAUGGGCGCAAGCCUGACGGAGCGACGCCGCGUGAGGGAUGACGGCCUUCGGGUUGUAAACCUCUUUUAUUAGGGAAAAAGGUUGGCAUGCUAACACCAUGUCAACUUGAUGGUACCUGUUGAAUAAGCCCCGGCUAACUACGUGCCAGCAGCCGCGGUAAUACGUAGGGGGCGAGCGUUGUCCAGAGUUACUGGGCGUAAAGAGCGUGUAGGCGGUUGAAAAAGUCAGGUGUGAAAUUCUUCGGCUCAACCGAGGGACUGCGCCUGAAACUUUUCGACUGGAGUUUGGGAGGGGCAACUGGAAUUCCUGGUGUAACGGUGAAAUGUGUAGAUAUC
This 649-nucleotide ribosomal RNA is filed under the name uncultured bacterium. Its description in RNAcentral is "bacterial SSU rRNA". It matches the Rfam family "Bacterial small subunit ribosomal RNA", at positions 65 to 698 of the family's 1533-position model. The record is from RNAcentral.